Molecule: long non-coding RNA, 644 nt
Filed under: Elaeis guineensis (African oil palm)
Lineage: Eukaryota; Viridiplantae; Streptophyta; Magnoliopsida; Arecales; Arecaceae
Description: long non-coding RNA (EGUI_LNC018743)
Source: RNAcentral
UGAAAGUUGUAAUUAGUAAGAGUGCUGACUUGUUGACCCGACAAUCUUCUCCAUUAGAACUUUUGAGGAAAUUUGUGAAGGCAACCUACCUUUAUUCAAAUAUUAACUAUGAUUUGCUUUGUCACAUAUUUAGAUUUUUCGGGAGACCAAAACCUAUAAUUUGGCCCUUGCCGCUUAAGGGCAGAAGGGAGAUCUUGGAGGUCCACCAGCCCAACCUGUUAGGGAGAGAGGCAAGACAUCUUCAUGGAUGAAUGGAAGAAAGAGAGAAAUAAGUGGGACAAGGCAUCUGUGUGGCUAGAGAGAGAGAGAGAGAGAGAGAGAGAGAGAGGUAGGUANNNNNNNNNNNNNNNNNNNNAGAGAGAGAGAGAGAGAGAGAAGAGAGAGAGAGAGAGGGUAGUGUAUAAAAAACAGAAAACUGAAGAUUUUUCUGUUUUUUCUAAUUUCAUAAAAUACUUAAAUAAUAUGAAGUGGCACUAAAGCUAAUCCUUUUAACAAAUAUGUUAGUGUAUUCUCAUUUGAGUCCAAUUUUGAGGAAGAAUGAUAUUUAGGUUGUCUUUUUAGAAGUAAAAAGUAGGUAGUUUUUAAGUCUGAUAGAGUAAAUAGUAAAGUAACAUGAUAUGUGGUGGUUUUCUUAUCUUGUCGGG